AUACUUACCUGGCAAGGGAGCUACCAUGAUCACAAAGGUGGUUUUCCCAGGGCGAGGCUCACCCACUGCACUCUGAGUGUGCUGACCCCCUCCAUUUCCCCAAAUGUGGAAAACUUGACUGCGUAAUUUGUGGUAGUGGGGGACUGUGUUCGCACUCCCCCCUU
This is a small nuclear RNA of Echinops telfairi (small Madagascar hedgehog), 164 nucleotides long. RefSeq annotates it as U1 spliceosomal RNA. The transcript has a single exon. Lineage: Eukaryota; Metazoa; Chordata; Mammalia; Afrosoricida; Tenrecidae. The record is from RefSeq and is a predicted model, not a curated record.